GCAACGGUUUUUUUUAAAACCACACAAGCAAAAGCUCUGUAGUUU
Non-coding RNA from Opisthorchis viverrini, 45 nucleotides. NCBI's taxonomy places the organism in Eukaryota, Metazoa, Platyhelminthes, Trematoda, Opisthorchiida, Opisthorchiidae. The record is from Rfam.